AGCGCAGGCGGGAAGACAAGUUGGAAGUGAAAUCCAUGGGCUCGACCCAUGAACUGCUUUCAAAACUGUUUUUCUUGAGUAGUGCAGAGGUAGGCGGAAUUCCCGGUGUAGCGGUGGAAUGCGUAGAUAUCGGGAGGAACACCAGUGGCGAAGGCGGCCUACUGGGCACCAACUGACGCUGAGGCUCGAAAGUGUGGGUAGCAAACA
RNAcentral lists this ribosomal RNA (207 nucleotides) under uncultured bacterium. RNAcentral's name for it is "partial 16S ribosomal RNA". It matches the Rfam family "Bacterial small subunit ribosomal RNA", at positions 568 to 774 of the family's 1533-position model. The record is from RNAcentral.